RNAcentral lists this long non-coding RNA (865 nucleotides) under Sus scrofa (pig). RNAcentral's name for it is "lncRNA (ENSSSCG00055027392.1)". The record is from RNAcentral. Lineage: Eukaryota; Metazoa; Chordata; Mammalia; Artiodactyla; Suidae.
AUGGAGGUUCCCAGGCUAGGGGUCGAAUCAGAGCUACACCUGCCAGCCUACACCACAGCCAUUCCAGAUCCCAGCCAAGUCUGCAACAUACACCAUAGCUCAAGGCAACGCUGGAUCCUUAACCCACUUAGCGAGAAGUCCAGGGAUCAAACCCGCAACCUCAUGGUUCCUAGUCGGAUUUGUUUCCAGUGUGCCACGAUGGGAACUCCUGUUUCAUUUUUAAACAAAGUAUAUAAAUUUAGUCCAAUAUAAAUAUGUUCGUGAAUAUAGCCACUCAUGGAAACUACAGAGAUACACAAUUGUAAGCAGUUAUGUAAGUAGGUACUAUUCGUAAUUAAUAUGAUAUGGACUCUGAUGAUGCCCUAUGUUUUUGAACUUGCUGUAAAGGUGAAUCCUCAGUUCUGUCUUAAACACUUUAGGAAAUGCUCAUCAGUCACCCUCCUCACCCUUAACUCACGAUUUGAUGAAUUUGGCACAUAAGUGGUUACAAAUGGAAUAGCCUAGGGACUUGUUUUGAGCAACUCCACCACCAGAAGGUAAAACUCAGGAACCAUAAUCCUUGACAUAACCUAACCUAUUUUUUUCUUCACUUUGAGCCAAAGAAAAACUCAGCUUUACUCCUUCUUUACCCUGCAUUACCAGACUUAACCAUUAAUGUUGUAUUACAUUGGAUCUUUCAUAGUUUCUUAGCAAUUGUCCCCAAAGUUUAUUUUUUUGGCUUUGCCCACAGCAUACAGAAGUUCAUGGGCCAGGGACUGAACCCACGCCACAGCUGCAGCCAGUGCCACAUCAGUGACAACACAGGAUCUUUUCCCAGCUAGGCCACCAGGGAACUGCAAUAAAAACUUAUUUUAAGUUUUAAACA